UAGUGUAUUGGACUACCAUGGCAGUCACGGGUAACGGGGAAUUAGGGUUCGAUUCCGGAGAGGGAGCCUGAGAAACGGCUACCACAUCUAAGGAAGGCAGCAGGCGGGUAAAUUACCCAAUCCCGACUCGGGGAGGUAGUGACAAGAAAUAACAACUCGAGAGGAUUUCCUCUACGAGAUUGCAAUGAGAACAAUUUAAAUCACUUAACGAGGAACAAUUGGAGGGCAAGUCUGGUGCCAGCAGCCGCGGUAAUUCCAGCUCCAAUAGCGUGCGCAAAAGUUGUUGCAGUUAAAAAGCUGGUAGUUGAACUUCUGGUCACACACUGGCUUGGCUUCAGUCGGCUUGUUGUGUGAUCAUCCGUCUGCAAAAAUAUGUCUUCCUUAAUUGGUUAGCGUGAGAGAGCAGACAAUUUACCUUGAAAAAAUUAGAGUGUUUCAGGCAGGUAAUCGCCGGAAUACAUUAGCAUGGAAUAAUGGAAUAGGACUUGUCUCCUUUGUUGGUUCAAGGAUUCGAGUAAUGAUAAAUAGGAACAGUUGGGGGCAUUAGUAUUUAAUUGUCAGAGGUGAAAUUCUUGGAUUUAUUAAAGACUAACUUAUGCGAAAGCAUCUGCCAAGGAUGUUUUCAUUAAUCAACAACGAAAGUUAGGGGGUCAAAGACGAUC
This 662-nucleotide ribosomal RNA is filed under the name uncultured ciliate. Its description in RNAcentral is "SSU rRNA". It matches the Rfam family "Eukaryotic small subunit ribosomal RNA", at positions 329 to 1009 of the family's 1831-position model. The record is from RNAcentral. Lineage: Eukaryota; Ciliophora.